AGGAUUAUAGUUAAUUAUAACAUUUGAAUUGCACUCAAAAAGUAUUGGAAUCACCAAUUUAUCUUA
RNAcentral lists this transfer RNA (66 nucleotides) under Nepsalus petrophilus. RNAcentral's name for it is "tRNA-Ala". It matches the Rfam family "tRNA". From Rfam's summary of the family: Transfer RNA (tRNA) molecules are approximately 80 nucleotides in length. Their secondary structure includes four short double-helical elements and three loops (D, anti-codon, and T loops). The record is from RNAcentral. Lineage: Eukaryota; Metazoa; Arthropoda; Insecta; Neuroptera; Myrmeleontidae.